Molecule: ribosomal RNA, 453 nt
Filed under: uncultured Porphyromonadaceae bacterium
Lineage: Bacteria; Pseudomonadati; Bacteroidota; Bacteroidia; Bacteroidales; Porphyromonadaceae
Description: partial 16S ribosomal RNA
Rfam family: Bacterial small subunit ribosomal RNA
Source: RNAcentral
ACGGAAGGCAGCAGUGAGGAAUAUUGGUCAAUGGACGGAAGUCUGAACCAGCCAAGUCGCGUGAAGGAUGAAGGUAUUAUGUAUUGUAGACUUCUUUAGCAGUGGAGUAAUAAGGUGGUCGAGACCACUGAUGCAAGUACACUGAGAAUAAGGAUCGGCUAACUCCGUGCCAGCAGCCGCGGUAAUACGGAGGAUCCGAGCGUUAUCCGGAUUUAUUGGGUUUAAAGGGUGCGCAGGCGGCUUUUUAAGUCAGUGGUUAAAUCGUGACGCUCAACGUCAUCACGCCAUUGAUACUGGAGAGCUUGAUUGCGGUCGAGGUUUGCGGAAUUCGUUGUGUAGCGGUGAAAUGCAUAGAUAUGACGAAGAACACCGAUUGCGUAGGCAGCAGACCAGGCCGUAAAUGACGCUCAUGCACGAAAGUGCGGGGAUCGAACAGGAUUAGAUACCCUGGUA